RNAcentral lists this long non-coding RNA (763 nucleotides) under Homo sapiens (human). RNAcentral describes it as "non-protein coding lnc-MARCKSL1-1:1". The record is from RNAcentral. Lineage: Eukaryota; Metazoa; Chordata; Mammalia; Primates; Hominidae.
CGCGGUGGCUCACACCUGUAAUCCCAGCACUUUGGGAGGCUGUGUAAAUAAGAACUUUGGUCCCUGGGCCCCGGCUGUUUAUCCAUUGGCAACUGAUUUCCCUCUCUGGCCACUUCCUCCUGCACAGAGUUUGGCCUGCCUGCGUUUCCAAAGCUUUGUUUAUACUCUUAUUUGGGAUAUGGAGCCUCCAUGGGAAGGAAUGGGUGUUUUGGACGUGAGAAAAAAAAAAAUAUUUUUCUUCAGGCACCAAACCAACAUGUAGCUCAAAUGACCAGCCCUUUUAUUCCUAGUCAAUAAGCUAUGUGAUUAGAGAUGGAAAGGGGGCAAAUGGAAGAGCAGAUACUCAUGUGAGCUAAUCUGUGAGGGUAGGGAAGACUUUUCCAUGGGUUUUCUCUCUUUCUGCUAUAAACGCUUUUCUCAUUCUCACACUAGCUUUAGACUAAAGGGAAGCAAUACUGGGUGAGAGGUGGAAGCAGACGUAGGCAGAGAAGGCAGUCAAAUGCUCAUUGCAAAGAGAUGGGAAGAUUAAACACUAACCUCAGGAUAGUGCUUAUACCUUGGCAGUGCUGGUAAUGGGGUGGGGGGCUGGGGGAGUGGGAGAGAAAGGGUAUGUGAUCAAGGAAAGAUGCCCAAGGGGGCAUCAACUGUAUUGAUAAUGUUUUCUUUCUCAGGCUGGGUAUUGGGCACACAUGGAUGUUCAUUAUAUUAUUAUUAUUAUUUUUUUUUUUUUGAGACAGAGUCUUGCUCUGUUGCCCAGCCUGGA